Molecule: long non-coding RNA, 1003 nt
Organism: Ochotona princeps (American pika)
Lineage: Eukaryota; Metazoa; Chordata; Mammalia; Lagomorpha; Ochotonidae
Exons: 3
Source: RefSeq, a predicted model, not a curated record
UAGAAAUGUCAUACUGACAAGUGGUUAAUCAUCAGGGCCUGUUGCAAUCUAAACACUUUUGAAGUCAUCCCAGAGAACAUGGUGAUCUACGGUGCUGACUGCCUCUUUCGGGUGCAGACCGAGCGACCACAGCCCCAGAAACUGCAGCUGGAUUUUUUGAUGAAAAUCUUGCCAAAUUACCACCACCUAAAGAAGACUAUGAAAGGAAGCUCAACUCCGGUCAAGAACUGAGACAAUGUGCGUCAUCCAUGUGUCCAUCUUGGACAGCUCCGUCUAGAAGGAACCACAGUCUCUAGACACUCUUAAUGGCUCACAGAAUAAUACCUGUUGACUUCAUUUUGUAGAAUCGAGUCAGAAAUGAAACGAAUGGAUUUUUGUUUUAACUGUUGUCUAUAAUUUAUAUGAAGUGUUUUAUUUUCCUAUAUCCUUGCUGCUUUUUGUAUAAUUUACAUAUUUAGUUAUCUCUUUGCUAUAUAAAAUGUUGACCACAAAUUUUGGUUAUGUGAAAGACUACCCCAUGGUAUAAAAAAAAAAGGAGGGGAGGGGGUGGAGGGUAUUUAACUCUAGCCUAGCUUACACUAAACUGAAUCAAACAUGCUGAGGGCAAGACUUGCAGGAGAAUAGUUUUGCUACUCAUUACUAUAACCAAAAGUCUCUGUCUUCAUUUUCAUUGUGAGCUGACUAUGAAAACUACUGUGUUUACCUUUUUCUCUUGUGGAUGUGUAACUGUUUAAUGGGAAGUUUUAUCAGCUAUUAAUUUAGACUUUUUUUUAAAACGUUUUUUUUUUCUUCUUAGUAAAAUGAAAGUAAUCAAGGAAAGCCACCUUCACUAAGAUAAAAAUUCAAAAAGAAUGACUUCUGACCAAAAGGACAAGUCUGUAGGGAGUACCCUGGAAACUGUGGGGGCAGCUCCAUGAACUAUCUGAAUGCAUGGACAGAGGUGGUCUGCAGAGCACAGAGGGCUGGAGCAGCUGUGCAGAGCCAUGCAAAGUGGCUCGUCAGG